Molecule: non-coding RNA, 484 nt
Filed under: Stereum hirsutum FP-91666 SS1
Lineage: Eukaryota; Fungi; Basidiomycota; Agaricomycetes; Russulales; Stereaceae
Description: Eukaryotic small subunit ribosomal RNA
Rfam family: Eukaryotic small subunit ribosomal RNA
Source: Rfam by way of RNAcentral
GGUCCUGGUACUCAUCACAUGCCCUGUAUCACCGUUGAAGGUCAGGUAUGUCCCCGUGUCUCCUUGCCCUAUGAAUAAAAGGUGGUUUCUUAACCAGUUAAGCCCCAGCAACAUAUCGAAAGGUAAUUUGUCACCAAAAUUAGAGUGUUCAAAGCAGGCCUAUGCCCGAAUACAUUAGCAUGGAAUAAUAAAAUAGGACGUGCGGUUCUAUUUUGUUGGUUUCUAGAGUCGCCGUAAUGAUUAAUAGGGAUAGUUGGGGGCAUUAGUAUUGCGUUGCUAGAGGUGAAAUUCUUGGAUUGACGCAAGACUAACUACUGCGAAAGCAUUUGCCAAGGAUGUUUUCAUUAAUCAAGAACGAAGGUUAGGGGAUCGAAAACGAUCAGAUACCGUUGUAGUCUUAACAGUAAACUAUGCCGACUAGGGAUCGGGCGAACUCAAUUUUAUGUGUCGCUCGGCACCUUACGAGAAAUCAAAGUCUUUGGGU